CCAGACUCCUACGGGAGGCAGCAGUGAGGAAUAUUGGUCAAUGGCCGAGAGGCUGAACCAGCCAAGUCGCGUGAGGGAAGACGGCCCUACGGGUUGUAAACCUCUUUUGUCGGGGAGCAAAGCGAGUCACGUGUGACUCAUUGAGAGUACCCGAAGAAAAAGCAUCGGCUAACUCCGUGCCAGCAGCCGCGGUAAUACGGAGGAUGCGAGCGUUAUCCGGAUUUAUUGGGUUUAAAGGGUGCGCAGGCGGAAGCGGCAAGUCAGCGGUAAAAUUGCGGGGCUCAACCUCGCCGAGCCGUUGAAACUGCUCUUCUAGAGUGGGCGAGAAGUAUGCGGAAUGCGUGGUGUAGCGGUGAAAUGCAUAGAUAUCACGCAGAACUCCGAUUGCGAAGGCAGCAUACCGGCGCCCAACUGACGCUCAUGCACGAAAGCGUGGGUAUCGAACAGGAUUAGAUACCCCAGUAU
This 465-nucleotide ribosomal RNA is filed under the name uncultured bacterium. Its description in RNAcentral is "bacterial SSU rRNA". It matches the Rfam family "Bacterial small subunit ribosomal RNA", at positions 331 to 793 of the family's 1533-position model. The record is from RNAcentral.